GAAAAAUAGAUGGGUUUUGUUUGGUUUUUUUUGUUUGUUUCUUGGUAAUAAUCCAGCAGGUUUCCAUCCUCAUUCCUCUCCACUAUGUUCUGUUGUUCUGGGAAGUCAGUGUUGUGAUUAAGAGUUUUAUUGUGCAUUGAUCAAGCAAAGGCAUUGACUCUCAGGUUUCAGUCUAAUGGCUCAAAGCUGUCACCUCCAAAAUGAGGAACAAGGGCUCACUGCUGCCUCUUCCAGGAUGCCUUCCCUGAUGUUACCUGAACUGGAGACUUGGUAUUUUGGCUUUCGCUAAUGAUGGUAACAAGUUCAGUUAACACAGGUAAACCUGCAGUGCUCCUGCGAUCAAUGGCUUACCAGGCAGAGAGGGAAGAGAUGGUCCCAAAGCUGACAAAGGAGAACCAGGGGCCAGCUCUCAAAACCAGAAAUCAUGCUUGCAAGAGUUGUCUACUAAUCUGA
Molecule: long non-coding RNA, 453 nt
Filed under: Amazona collaria (yellow-billed parrot)
Lineage: Eukaryota; Metazoa; Chordata; Aves; Psittaciformes; Psittacidae
Description: lncRNA (ENSACOG00000006876.1)
Source: RNAcentral